GAGUUUGAUCGUGCUCAGGAUGAACGCUGGCGGCGUGCUUAACACAUGCAAGUCGAACGAAGCGCCUUAUUUGGAUUUUCUUCGGAACUGAAGAUUUGGUGACUAGAGUGGCCGGACGGGUGAGUAACGCGUGGGUAACCUGCCCUGUACAGGGGGGUAACAAUCAGAAAUGACUGCUAAUACCGCAUAAGACCACAGCACCGCAUGGUGCAGGGGUAAAAACUCCGGUGGUACAGGAUGGACCCGCGUCUGAUUAGCUGGUUGGUGAGGUAACGGCUCACCAAGGCGACGAUCAGUAGCCGGCUUGAGAGAGUGAACGGCCACAUUGGGACUGAGACACGGCCCAAACUCCUACGGGAGGCAGCAGUGGGGAAUAUUGCACAAUGGGGGAAACCCUGAUGCAGCAACGCCGCGUGAGUGAAGAAGUAUUUCGGUAUGUAAAGCUCUAUCAGCAGGGAAGAAAGUGACGGUACCUGACUAAGAAGCCCCGGCUAACUACGUGCCAGCAGCCGCCGU
RNAcentral lists this ribosomal RNA (516 nucleotides) under uncultured microorganism. RNAcentral describes it as "bacterial SSU rRNA". It matches the Rfam family "Bacterial small subunit ribosomal RNA", at positions 9 to 521 of the family's 1533-position model. The record is from RNAcentral.